Molecule: ribosomal RNA, 495 nt
Filed under: uncultured bacterium
Lineage: Bacteria
Description: partial 16S ribosomal RNA
Rfam family: Bacterial small subunit ribosomal RNA
Source: RNAcentral
GACGAACGCUGGCGGCGUGCCUAAUACAUGCAAGUAGAACGCUGAAGGAGGAGCUUGCUUCUCUGGAUGAGUUGCGAACGGGUGAGUAACGCGUAGGUAACCUGCCUGGUAGCGGGGGAUAACUAUUGGAAACGAUAGCUAAUACCGCAUAAUAGUAGAUGUUGCAUGACAUUUGCUUAAAAGGUGCAAUUGCAUCACUACCAGAUGGACCUGCGUUGUAUUAGCUAGUUGGUGGGGUAACGGCUCACCAAGGCGACGAUACAUAGCCGACCUGAGAGGGUGAUCGGCCACACUGGGACUGAGACACGGCCCAGACUCCUACGGGAGGCAGCAGUAGGGAAUCGUCGGCAAUGGACGGAAGUCUGACCGAGCAACGCCGCGGGAGUGAAGAAGGUUUUCGGAUCGUAAAGCUCUGUUGUAAGAGAAGAACGAGUGUGAGAGUGGAAAGUUCACACUGUGACGGUAUCUUACCAGAAAGGGACGGCUAACUACGUG